CUCCUACGGGAGGCAGCAGUGAGGAAUAUUGGUCAAUGGGCGCAGGCCUGAACCAGCCAAGUAGCGUGAAGGAUGACUGCCCUAUGGGUUGUAAACUUCUUUUAUAUGGGAAUAAAGUUUUCCACGUGUGGAAUUUUGUAUGUACCAUAUGAAUAAGGAUCGGCUAACUCCGUGCCCAGCAGCCGCGGUAAUACGGAGGAUCCGAGCGUUAUCCGGAUUUAUUGGGUUUAAAGGGAGCGUAGGUGGACAGUUAAGUCAGUUGUGAAAGUUUGCGGCUCAACCGUAAAAUUGCAGUUGAUACUGGCUGUCUUGAGUACAGUAGAGGUGGGCGGAAUUCGUGGUGUAGCGGUGAAAUGCUUAGAUAUCACGAAGAACUCCGAUUGCGAAGGCAGCUCACUGGACUGCAACUGACACUGAUGCUCGAAAGUGUGGGUAUCAAACAGGAUUAGAUACCCUGGUAGUCCACACAGUAAACGAUGAAUACUCGCUGUUUGCGAUAUACAGUAAGCGGCCAAGCGAAAGCAUUAAGUAUUCCACCUGGGGAGUACGCCGGCAACGGUGAAACUCAAAGGAAUUGACGGGGGCCCGCACAAGCGGAGGAACAUGUGGUUUAAUUCGAUGAUACGCGAGGAACCUUACCAGGUCUUGACAUCCGUGUAAAGCCGCAGAGAUGCGAUGUGAGCUUGCUCAAUACGAGACAGGUGGUGCAUGGUUGUCGUCAGCUCGUGUCGUGAGAUGUUGGGUUAAGUCCCGCAACGAGCGCAACCCUUAUCGUCCGUUACUAACGCGUAAAGGCGAGGACUCAGACGAGACCGCCGGGGACAACUCGGAGGAAGGUGGGGACGACGUCAAAUCAUCAUGCCCUUUAUGACUUGGGCUACACACGUACUACAAUGGCGUUAAACAAAGAGAAGCAAGACCGCGAGGUGGAGCAAAACUCAGAAACAACGUCCCAGUUCGGACUGCAGGCUGCAACUCGCCUGCACGAAGUCGGAAUUGCUAGUAAUCGUGGAUCAGCAUGCCACGGUGAAUACGUUCCCGGGCCUUGUACACACCGC
This 1058-nucleotide ribosomal RNA is filed under the name uncultured bacterium. RNAcentral's name for it is "bacterial SSU rRNA". It matches the Rfam family "Bacterial small subunit ribosomal RNA", at positions 336 to 1393 of the family's 1533-position model. The record is from RNAcentral.